Molecule: ribosomal RNA, 406 nt
Filed under: uncultured bacterium
Lineage: Bacteria
Description: partial 16S ribosomal RNA
Rfam family: Bacterial small subunit ribosomal RNA
Source: RNAcentral
AUUGAACGCUGGCGGCAGGCCUAAUACAUGCAAGUCGAACGAGUGGCGGACGGGUGAGCAAUGUCUGGGAAACUGCCUUAAGGAGGGGGAUAACUACUGGAAACGGUAGCAAAUACCGCAUACCAUCAGAUGUGCCCAGAUGGGGUUAGCUAGUAGGUGGGGUAACGGCUUACCAAGGCGACGAUCCCUAGCUGGUCGGAGAGGAUGACCAGCCACACUGGAACUGAGACACGGUCCAGACUCCUACGGGAGGCAGCAGUGGGGAAUAUUGCGCAAUGGGCGCAAGCCUGAUGCAGCAAUGCCGCGUGUAUGAAGAAGGCCUUCGGGUUGUAAAGUACUUUUAGCGGGGAAGCGUUACCCAAAGAGGAAGCACCGGCUAACUCCGUGCCAGCAGCCGCGGUAAUUC